Podarcis raffonei (Aeolian wall lizard) is the source of this 3788-nucleotide RNA transcript. It is a transcript of the gene named transmembrane protein 245, with no coding region annotated. Lineage: Eukaryota; Metazoa; Chordata; Lepidosauria; Squamata; Lacertidae. The transcript has 19 exons. The record is from RefSeq and is a predicted model, not a curated record.
GCCGGCGCCUUGCCCAUGGCCGAGAGCGGGGACCGCGGCGGCGGCGGCGGCUCGCCGAGCCCGGAGCCGGCGGCUCGCCCCUGCCCUCCCGGCCGGCCGCCCCCCGCGCUGCCGCUGCCCCGCCUGGAGAAGCCCCUUCGGCAGGCCUUCUACAACACGGGCGCGCUGGUGCUGGCGGGGCUGUGCUGCGGCGCGGCGGUGCUGGUCUACUUCAUCCUGGAGGCCUUCCUGCGGCCGCUGCUGUGGGCCGCGCUGUGCGGCACCUUCCUGCACCCCUUCAAGAGCUCCCUGACGGCGCUGGGCCGGGCCUGGCUGCGCCGCCUGCGCCGCUCCGGGGCGCCCGUGCUGCCCGCCGCGCUGCUGCUGCCGCUCUGCUUCGCCAACGCCGCCGCCGAGGCGCUGGGCCGCCAGCUGCUCCGCCGGAGGAGGCUCCUGGUGCUGCUGGGCGCCGGCGGGCCCGCGCUCUACGGCUGCUACGCGCUCGGCGCCUCGCUCGGGGCCCGCGCCGCGCUCGCCCAGGCCGCCGGGGUCAUCGGCGCCGGGCUGGACUGCUUCAGCAGCCUCUGGAUAUGGACCUUGAUAGCAGGCUAUUUAUUGACUGUAUUAUUCAAGUGGAACCCAAGCACUGAACGUUACUUGAGAACAAUCUCUGUUCCUGUCUGGAUUCUACUGCUCUUCCAUUUGGCUUCUGCAGCAGGUUCUUGGAAGAUUCCAGUGUUUUUGGUUAUAGUUGUCUUAAUGACUGUGGGUAUGUUGCACGAGCACCCGAGUGGGAAAGAGUCUUCAGGGGUAGAACUUCCUGGUCAGAUGGUUUCUAUUGCAGCAUCUACAAUAGCCAUGGCAAUAUCAAUUACAGGAUUUGAAUCGAAUAAUGAGGAACAUUCACCGCAAUCCUCAGGAACCACAGAAAGUAGUGAAACAUCUUCUCCGUCUACUGUGAGUGGCAGACAGAGACCUGAGAUCGGAACACUUCUUAAAAAGAAGAAUACAAGUGAUAUCUACUUUGUUCUGCUUGCAUGGGCCAUUGUAAUAGUUCAGAUAUGGUUGAAUCUCUGGAUAAUACAGCUGCUGCCAGUACCUGUUGCAGUGUGGGUUGUCAAAAAGCUUGUGGUCCACUUUGGAGUAGUGAAAUUUCUGGUGAGUCACUGCAGUGUCUGGUGGCAUGUCCUUGAAGAUUUUGUGAGAGAACGUCAAGAAGCUCUUGCACCGCGACCAAUCAAGGGCCUCGGAAGAGUCAUUCUAAAGCUAGACAGUAAGCUGUGGCAUUGGCUUAAUAAGAAGAUGAUCGUGUGGCUGGAAAAAAUGCUAGAUAAAAUCAUUAGCAUUUUCAUUAUAUUUGUGCUAGUGAUAGGCACCCUUCUGCUAGCUCUGCUCCUUACAGCAAAGGUGCACCAAGAAAGCGUGCAUAUGAUUGAAGUCACAAGCAGCUUGAUCAAUGAAACUGUAGCCAAUCAUCCAGAAUGGGCCAACUGGCUUCCUGAAGCUCAGGUUUUUCAAAAGGCUUUGAAUUCAGCUGCCAAUAAUGUCUAUCAGUAUGGCCGAGAAUGGAUAACACAUAAGCUCCACAAAAUAUUAGGAGACAAAGUGAACAACACCGCUGUGAUUGAAAAACAAGUUCUGGAGCUCUGGGACAGACUAUAUCAUUCGUGGUUUGUGAAAAAUGUAACUCAUUCAGGAAGACACAAAGGACACAAGCCACAUUUAAACCGUCAAAACAGCUGGCCAGGUGACAUGCUUGAUUGGCAAGAUGUUGCCUCCUUUAUUCAUGAGAACAUUGAAACAUUUCUUUCGAUCCUGGAAUCCCUCUGGAUAGUGAUGAGCCACAAUGUGAGCCUCCUUUUCACCACAGUUACAACAUUAGUAACUGUUCUCUUUUACAGUGGCACUGCUCUUCUCAAUUUUGUGCUUUCACUGGUGAUUUUCCUGACCACAUUGUUCUACCUUUUAAGUUCCAGUGAUGAAUACUACAAGCCAGUGAAGUGGGUGAUCAACCUGACUCCCUUGUCACAGCCUGGCCCUUCCUCCAAUAUAGUUGGCCAGUCUGUCGAAGAGGCCAUAAGAGGUGUGUUUGAUGCAUCCCUCAAAAUGGCUGGGUUCUAUGGACUGUACACCUGGCUGACUCAUACUGUCUUUGGAAUUAACAUUGUCUUCAUACCAUCAGCACUGGCUGCACUUCUUGGAGUUGUUCCAUUUCUGGGAACAUACUGGGCAGCCAUCCCUGCUGUUCUAGACCUCUGGCUUGUACAGGGAGAAGGAUGCAAAGCUGUGCUUCUCUUGGUUUGCCAUCUGCUGCCAACAUAUUUUGUAGACACAGCAAUCUAUUCAGAUAUAUCCGGAGGGGGCCACCCAUACCUGACGGGCCUUGCAGUAGCUGGGGGAGCCUAUUACCUAGGAGUGGAAGGAGCCAUCAUAGGACCCAUAUUGCUCUGCACACUUGUGGUUGCUUCCAAUAUCUAUAGUGCUAUGCUUGUGAGCCCCACAAGUGCAUUGCCCACGCCAUCACAGAUGCCUUGGCCUUUGCAGAUAUACCGGUCUUCUAGAGAAAGUCCUGAGGAACAGAAAACUGCCACGGAAUGACACAUGGAGUAUUUAGGAAGAACUCCUCUUUCUUAAGCGAGCCUUGAGCUCAGGAGAGUCGUGGCCUUGGAUCCCUUCUCCAGCUGUGCCUCCUGGCAGCUUUCACUGAUGCAGCAUUCCCUGUUGAGCAUCCCUGUUGACACACGUUGCCUUAGGUCACGCACAUUUCCUUUAUACCAGAAAUCAACUUUAUGCCUACUGCAAAGAAGCCCCUUCAGUAGAGAACUAUUGCAUGGCAUUAGGUAUAACUAAUUUUUUAAAAGGAUAUUGAAAAUACUCUUUAAGAAUCCUGAAUUUUAGAUGGGAAGUAAAAUGUUAAAAUACUGACAUUUUGAAACAGUGAAAACUACUUACAUUGUGAGACUGACUGGCUAGCUUACCUCUUUUUACAGUGAAACUUGAUUUGCCUCAAGGUUAAAAACAAUUAGCUCUUUUAAAGUGUUCUUAGUGUAUUGCAACUUAAAUAAAUUACAUAAAAUUUUGGAGACAGAACAUGAGCAAAUUUGCAUUCAAGCUUUCACCUUAAAUAUUAAACCAUUUCUUUAGACUGCAGAUUGUAUGUUCUGACUGAGUACUACUUCACCCAAGAUACUACUUUUGAAAAACUGUGUACACUGUACAGUGAAGCAUAUGCCAAUGUGUUUCUCGUAAUAUGUGUUUUGGAAGCCAUAGUUUGUGGCAAAUUUGUGCAACAUUUAUACAGGAAAAAUGCACAUGUAGUAGAAAGGCACAUACAUUUUUCACACAAUAUUGAGCACCCAGGAAAAACAAUCUUAAUGUGUGUGAAGUUUUCUUUAAAAAAACUUACCGUACGUGAAGAAGCCCUAGUUUACUAAACCUCAAAAUAUAAUCUUCCAGUUGCUUUAUUAAAGACACGGGUAUCACAUCAUCAAAAUGUGGGAAGACUUGUAUGAACUGAGUAGAAAUUUUAUCUACAAGUAUAUUAAAGCCUAGUCAUUGAUUUCAUUUCUGGUAGAAGAAUGAAUGAAGCUGCUAUUGGGGGAUAACAUUGGAGAUUGGUGGCUUGGAUGCCAAAUGCACAAGACCAUACCUAAAAAUGCACACGACUUUCACUACUGGGAAUAUUUUAUUUUUUGUAGUCUGACCUAGAGCAUUUAUGAUAAGCUUUUAUCAUGGUAUAUAUUUAAGCUUCACACCUUUACAAAUGAUAUUUUUCCAAAUAAAAUUCUACAUUGAAUGUCUAAAAACUA